UUUGAUCCAUUAAACAUGAUAAAGUUGGAUCAUGGUCCACUAAUGGGCUCCAAGCCCAAAGAUUUACACGAGCCCAAUAAAAUGUCAAAUUGGCCCCCAUCAUGAUAUACUCUCCCCUAGUCUCUAGUGAUCUAAACGAAGUGGUUCACUGGAGACUCAAAUUGUGUGAUUAAUUUGAUUGAUACUGUAAAGGAACGAGUUUCGUUAACAUCGAUCUUUGAGAGAUAGGCAGCUGCAAAGAAAGAUUGGCUCAAAUAACUCUAAUAAUAAUAAACUCAUUAAUAUCGAGCUUUAAGAAAUAUACGAGCUGCAAAGAAAUGUUAACUCAGAUAUUCUCAUAAAAACGAGCUCAUUAACACCGAACUCUAAAUCUAUUGGUAGACGAACUGCAAAAUAAAGAUUAGUUAAAAUAAUUAUAAUCACAACGAGCUGCUUAAUAUCGAGCUCAAGAUAGUGAAGCGGAUUGUUAUGACAAUCUCGAAGGAUAAAUAAGCCUGCCCAUAAACUCCGAGCUUGGUUAGGCGUUGAGAGCUUAAUAGAAUGGCGAUCUGAGGAUUUCAUGCGAGUUCCACGAACAACUAGGCUAGGAGAUGAGAUGCGAGCUGAUGUUCUCUCGAGUUUUAUUUGGAACUAUUAGUUCAUAUGUCGGGGUAAACUAUCACACCUGCAGGAUUAGCACAAUCUGCAAAAAUGCUGGAGGAGAUAAAAUCAAGUAUUCUUAUUAUUGAAUUAAAUAUUCAAAUCAUAUCCUCCUAGAUUUCAUUACAAACCAACAUGUUAUAAUUAAAGUUAACUUAAGAGUACUACCACAUGUCUGUGCAAACAGUCAAAACAUGUAAUACAAAUCAAACAUUUUUUCUAUUAGUGGGACUAUAUAACAUGUAUAUCCACAGCAUACUAGAAAUAUGAAUUAGCUUCCACAUAAAAUAUAAAAGAUUAAAUUCCAUUACUCAAAUACUCAGCACCACGUGUGUUCGCCGAUCUCGCCAAUCAAGAGCAUAUUAAUGUACAACAUGCUUGCAAUAUAAAACCAAUUUUAAAAGCGAACAACAUUAGGCAAUUAUGAAAUUUUCAUAUAAACUGGCAGAUGCUCAUUACCCUAAAACAUAGCACAAUUCAUGGAAAAGAAAUCAUACGAGAAUUUUGGAAAUCAAGAAUCCUAUAACAGACCCAUUAUUAGAAUAAAAUCAUAUCAGAUCAAAUCAUAUUAAGAGUAUAUUUCUUGAACAUCCAUAUAAACAUGUGAUUAAAUUUCAUAAACUCAUGAAUAGGAAUAUACGAGAAUUGCUAUAUAAGAAUUUUUUCUGUUUAUUGAUGACCCUCAACAUCUCAGCUCGAUUCGAAGUUCCCACAGACGGCGCCACUUGAUGGUGCUCGAAUUUCGCACCCUCAAGACCUUCUCCGAAACCCUACUUUGAGCGUUGCCGGAGAAUCCACCACUAGCCGGAUCAGACAGCGGUGGCUAGAUGUGUAAAGGAUAAAAUAAAGUUUUUAGAGAAAAAGUAAAGAAAUAUAUUAUUGAUGUCUUGAAAACGUAACCCUAAUGAGGGUUUUUACAUGUGUUUAUAUAGGUCAGUUAAUAUUCUAGAUAUUUUCCUAUAAACAAGAGGCG
RNAcentral lists this long non-coding RNA (1612 nucleotides) under Erythranthe guttata (spotted monkey flower). RNAcentral's name for it is "long non-coding RNA (EGUT_LNC002788)". Lineage: Eukaryota; Viridiplantae; Streptophyta; Magnoliopsida; Lamiales; Phrymaceae. The record is from RNAcentral.